UACGGGGGGGGCAAGCGUUGUUCGGAAUUACUGGGCGUAAAGGGUUCGUAGGCGGUUCGGCAAGUCGGGAGUGAAAUCUCUGGGCUUAACCCAGAGGCUGCUUCCGAAACUGCUGUGCUUGAGUGUGGGAGAGGCGCGUGGAAUUGCAGGUGUAGCGGUGAAAUGCGCAGAUAUCGGGAGGAACACCUAUGGCGAAGGCAGCUCGCUGGGACGUUACUGACGCUGAGACGCGAAAGCGUGGGGAGCAAACAGG
Molecule: ribosomal RNA, 253 nt
Filed under: uncultured bacterium
Lineage: Bacteria
Description: partial 16S ribosomal RNA
Rfam family: Bacterial small subunit ribosomal RNA
Source: RNAcentral